AGAGUUUGAUCAUGGCUCAGGACGAACGCUGGCGGCGUGCUUAACACAUGCAAGUCGAGCGAGAGCCAGCUGAGGGGUAACCCUCGGCUGGGGACAGCGGCGAACGGGUGCGUAACACGUGGGCAACCUGCCCCUGACACUGGGAUAACCCCGGGAAACCGGAGCUAAUACCGGAUACUCUCGGCCGAUCACAUGGCUGGCCGAGGAAAGGUCCGCCGGUCAGGGAUGGGCCCGCGGCCUAUCAGCUUGUUGGUGGGGUAACGGCCUACCAAGGCGACGACGGGUAGCUGGUCUGAGAGGACGACCAGCCACACUGGAACUGAGAUACGGUCCAGACUCCUACGGGAGGCAGCAGUGGGGAAUAUUGCACAAUGGGCGAAAGCCUGAUGCAGCGACGCCGCGUGAGGGAUGAAGGCCUUCGGGUCGUAAACCUCUUUCGGCAGGGACGAAGCGUUCAGUGACGGUACCUGCAGAAGAAGCCCCGGCUAACUACGUGCCAGCAGCCGCGGUAAUAC
Molecule: ribosomal RNA, 515 nt
Filed under: uncultured bacterium
Lineage: Bacteria
Description: bacterial SSU rRNA
Rfam family: Bacterial small subunit ribosomal RNA
Source: RNAcentral